RNAcentral lists this ribosomal RNA (250 nucleotides) under uncultured bacterium. Its description in RNAcentral is "partial 16S ribosomal RNA". It matches the Rfam family "Bacterial small subunit ribosomal RNA", at positions 525 to 774 of the family's 1533-position model. The record is from RNAcentral.
ACGAAGGAUGCAAGCGUUAUCCGGAUUCAUUGGGUUUAAAGGGUGCGUAGGCGGAUUGGUAAGUCAGUGGUGAAAGCCCAUCGCUUAACGAUGGAACUGCCAUUGAUACUGCCGAUCUUGAGUACAAAUGACGUUGGCGGAAUAUGACAUGUAGCGGUGAAAUGCUUAGAUAUGUCAUAGAACACCGAUUGCGAAGGCAGCUGACGAAACUGUAACUGACGCUGAGGCACGAAAGUGCGGGGAUCAAACA